CCUACGGGAGGCAGCAGUAGGGAAUCUUCCACAAUGGGCGACAGCCUGAUGGAGCAACGCCGCGUGGGUGAAGAAGGUCUUCGGAUCGUAAAACCCUGUUGUUAGAGAAGAAAGUGCGUGCGAGUAACUGUUCACGUUUCGACGGUAUCUAACCAGAAAGCCACGGCUAACUACGUGCCACCAGCCGCGGUAAUACGUAGGUGGCAAGCGUUAUCCGGAGUGAUUGGGCGUAAAGGGAACGCAGGCGGUCUUUUAAGUCUGAUGUGAAAGCCUUCGGCUUAACCGGAGUAGGGCAUUGGAAACUGGGAGACUUGAGUGCAGAAGAGGAGAGUGGAACUCCAUGUGUAGCGGUGAAAUGCGUAGAUAUAUGGAAGAACACCAGUGGCGAAGGCGGCUCUCUGGUCUGUAACUGACGCUGAGGUUCGAAAGCGUGGGUAGCAAACAGGAUUAGAUACCCUGGUAGUC
RNAcentral lists this ribosomal RNA (465 nucleotides) under uncultured bacterium. RNAcentral describes it as "partial 16S ribosomal RNA". It matches the Rfam family "Bacterial small subunit ribosomal RNA", at positions 338 to 795 of the family's 1533-position model. The record is from RNAcentral.